This 207-nucleotide ribosomal RNA is filed under the name uncultured bacterium. RNAcentral's name for it is "partial 16S ribosomal RNA". It matches the Rfam family "Bacterial small subunit ribosomal RNA", at positions 568 to 774 of the family's 1533-position model. The record is from RNAcentral.
CGUGUAGGCAGAGAUGCAAGUUGGGAGUGAAAUCCCGGGGCUCAACCCCGGAACUGCUCUCAAAACUGUAUCCCUUGAGUAUCGGAGAGGCAAGCGGAAUUCCUAGUGUAGCGGUGAAAUGCGUAGAUAUUAGGAGGAACACCAGUGGCGAAGGCGGCUUGCUGGACGACAACUGACGCUGAGGCGCGAAAGCGUGGGGAGCAAACA